RNAcentral lists this ribosomal RNA (425 nucleotides) under uncultured bacterium. Its description in RNAcentral is "partial 16S ribosomal RNA". It matches the Rfam family "Bacterial small subunit ribosomal RNA", at positions 354 to 796 of the family's 1533-position model. The record is from RNAcentral.
GUGGGGAAUCUUAGACAAUGGGCGCAAGCCUGAUCUAGCCAUGCCGCGUGAGCGAUGAAGGCCUUAGGGUUGUAAAGCUCUUUCGUGGGGGAAGAUAAUGACUGUACCCCAAGAAGAAGCCCCGGCUAACUCCGUGCCAGCAGCCGCGGUAAUACGGAGGGGGCUAGCGUUGUUCGGAAUUACUGGGCGUAAAGCGCACGUAGGCGGACUGGAAAGUCAGGGGUGAAAGCCCGGGGCUCAACCCCGGAACUGCCUUUGAAACUACCAGUCGUGAGUACGAGAGAGGUGAGUGGAAUUCGGAGUGUAGAGGUGAAAUUCGUAGAUAUUCGGAGGAACAACAGUGGCGAAGGCGGCUCACUGGCUCGAUACUGACGCUGAGGUGCGAAAGCGUGGGGAGCGAACAGGAUUAGAAACCCGGGUAGUCC